GAUGAACGCUGGCGGCGUGCCUAAUACAUGCAAGUAGAACGCUGAAGGAAGGAGCUUGCUCUUUCCGGAUGAGUUGCGAACGGGUGAGUAACGCGUAGGUAACCUGCCUGGUAGCGGGGGAUAACUAUUGGAAACGAUAGCUAAUACCGCAUAACAGUAGAUGUUGCAUGAUAUCUACUUAAAAGGUGCAAUUGCACCACUACCAGAUGGACCUGCGUUGUAUUAGCUAGUUGGUGAGGUAACGGCUCACCAAGGCGACGAUACAUAGCCGACCUGAGAGGGUGAUCGGCCAAACUGGGACUGGGACACGGCCCAGACUCCUACGGGAGGCAGCAGUAGGGGAUCUUCGGCAAUGGACGGAAGUCUGAACGAGCAACGCCGCGGGAGUGAAGAAGGUUUUCGGAUCGUAAAGCUCUGUUGUGAGAGAAGAACGAGUGUGAGAGUGGAAAGUUCACACUGUGACGGUAGCUGACCAGAAAGGGACGGCUAACUACGUG
This 497-nucleotide ribosomal RNA is filed under the name uncultured bacterium. Its description in RNAcentral is "partial 16S ribosomal RNA". It matches the Rfam family "Bacterial small subunit ribosomal RNA", at positions 28 to 507 of the family's 1533-position model. The record is from RNAcentral.